ACAAGGUUUCCGUAGGUGAACCUGCGGAAGGAUCAUUGAAUAUGCAAACCACAACACGCACCCUACUUGUGUGCCGACGUUAGGUCAACACACGCAAGUGUGUGGCCUACUAACUUACACACCAUUGACCAACCACUGAUCAAACCAAACUCUGAAGCUUUGACUGCCGUUAACUGGCAGUUUUAACCAAUAACAACUCUCAACAACGGAUAUCUUGGCUCUCGCAACGAUGAAGAACGCAGCGAAAUGCGAUACGUAGUGUGAAUUGCAGAAUUCCGUGAACCAUCGAAUCUUUGAACGCAUAUUGCGCUCGACUCCUCGGAGAAGAGCAUGUCUGCCUCAGCGUCGGUUUACACCCUCACCCCUCCUACCCUUGGUAGGCUUGCUGUGCUUGCUCAAGCCAGCAUUAGGGGUGGAUCUGGCUUUCCCAAUCGGUUCACACUGGUUGGGUUGGCUGAAGCACAGAGGCUUAAACUGGGACCCGUACCGGGCUCAACUGGAUAGGUAGCAACACCCUCGGGUGCCUACACGAAGUUGUGUCUGAGGACCUGGUUAGGAGCCAAGCAGGAAACAUGCCUUUGGUAUGUACUCUGUAUUCGACCUGAGCUCAGGCAAGGCUACCCGCUGAACUUAAGCAUAU
This 640-nucleotide ribosomal RNA is filed under the name Sphaeropleales sp. LBA 1. RNAcentral's name for it is "eukaryotic LSU rRNA". The stretch from base 195 to 348 matches the Rfam family "5.8S ribosomal RNA". The record is from RNAcentral. Lineage: Eukaryota; Viridiplantae; Chlorophyta; Chlorophyceae; Sphaeropleales.